RNAcentral lists this unclassified non-coding RNA (2517 nucleotides) under Bombyx mandarina (wild silkworm). Its description in RNAcentral is "hrp65 protein-like, transcript variant X2". The record is from RNAcentral. Lineage: Eukaryota; Metazoa; Arthropoda; Insecta; Lepidoptera; Bombycidae.
CAUUUUAAGAUAUCACGGUUGUCCGCUCUUUCGUACAACUAACGCCAGCGACGCCAUAGCUUUUCCUCGUGCGUGGAUUAGUUGAACGUGAAUAAAUAUUAACGUAAAAAUAACAAUAUCAAAACAAGAAAGUCCUUGUACGUAGAAUGCAAAUGCAAGCCAUGAAUAACUUCGGCAAUCAAAGAGGAUUUGGUGGACCACCGCAACCUCAACGGCAAGGAGGUCGUCGUGGUAAUAACAGAGGAUUUCGUAAUUCGAGAUUUGAGCAUAAUAGACCUCAACAGGGACAAGGAGGUCAACGGCCUAGUAAUGAGAAGGCAACAUCACAAUCGAAUCAGCCUGCUGAGAAAUCUAAUCAACAGCAGCAGCAGCAAAACCAACCUAAACAGCAAUCGUCUAGGCCACAGCAAAAAAUGGAAACUACAAAUGUACCACAAUCCACCAAUCAACAACAACAGAGCCAACAACAACCACAACAACAGCAACAAAUACCACAACAACAGCAGAAACAGAUGCAACAACAACAACAGCAGAAACCUGUUAAUGCUCCUGCAAAAUCGGAACCUCAAGAAAAUACUGACAAACCGAAAUUUGAACCAAAUAACCAGAACCAACAAAUUAAUCAACAUAACAAUCUAAACACGCAGCAACAAAAGAAUAUUAAUGGAAACUUCGGUGGACCUAAUAAACAAGGAGGAUCCUGGAACCAUGGUGGUGGACCUGGGAACAAACAAGGAAACAAACCCUUUGGUUCUAAGUCUUCUGGUGGUCCACUUGGGUCUGGUGGUCCUGGUCCAGCUCGCAAUCAACAGCGUAAUAGCAACAUGCGGGGACCCCCAGGGCAGGAUAACAUGAAGCCUGCCCAAAGAGAGGAAAUUAUUUUAUCUAAUAAACUCAAGGAUUUGCAAGGACCACUGUUUGACUUGCCACCAAUGGAACAAUCAGAAGUGAAGUUUAAUGGGAGAAGCAGAUUAUACAUAGGCAAUUUAACAAAUGAUGUGACUGAAGAGGAAAUUAUGAAGAUGUUUAGUCCCUUUGGAGAAGCUUCUGAAUUAUUCUUGAACAAAGAAAAGAACUUUGGAUUCAUUAAAAUGGAUUAUAGAGUUAAUGCAGAGAGAGCAAAACGUGAAUUGGAUGGAAAAUUGAGGAACAGUAGAACCCUGAGAGUAAGGUUUGCACCACACAAUAGUGCAGUGCGUGUAAAAAACCUUCCGCCAUUUGUUUCAAAUGAGCUAUUAUAUCGUUCAUUUGAAAUAUUUGGAAAAAUUGAGAGGGCUUAUGUAAAAGUUGAUGAAAGAGGAAAAACUCUAGGAGAAGGUGUUGUAGAAUUUGCACGCAAGCCAAGUGCCUUAUCUGCAAUUCGUAACUGCACAGAAAAAUGUUUCUUCUUGACAUCAUCCCUACGCCCAGUCAUUGUUGAAAGCUUUGAAGAACCUGAUGAAUUCGAUGGAUAUCCUGAAAAGAAUCUUCCCAAGAAACAUCCAGAAUUUACGAAAGCUCGUGAGCUUGGACCACGUUUCUCAGAGUUAAAUAGUUUCGAACAUGAAUAUGGAACUAGAUGGAAGCAACUGCAUGAACUUCAUCGUCAGAAAGAAGAGGCGCUGAAGAAAGAGCUUGCUGCUGAAGAGGAAAAACUUGAGGCACAGAUGGAGUAUGCCAAGUACGAGCACGAGACGGAGCUGCUGCGCGAGCAGCUGCGGCAGCGCGAGCAGGACCGCGAGCGGCAGAAGCGCAGCUGGGAGAUGGCGGAGCGCGCGGCCGACGAGCGGCGCGAGGCCGAGCGCCAGCAGCUCAUGCGCCACGAGGAGGAGCUGUCGCAGCGCAUGCGCCUGCAGGACGACGAGCUGCGCCGCCGCCAGCAGGAGAACACGCUCUUCGUGCAGGCCCAGAGAUUGAACUCUAUGCUGGAUCGUCAAGAACAAGGAAUGUUUGAUCAACAGCAGCCAAUGGUUUCAGUUUACAGUUAGCUAGUGGAUCCUAGAUUUCUUGUCAGUGGUUUUUGGAUUUGGCAUUGAUUAAGAAAAAAAGUGAUUGAUCUCGUAAAGUAUGCAGUGUUUCUGAUGUCGGCGGACUAGCUUCAGAUGGUGUCGUUAAAACUUGAAAAAAUGUGUAAAAAUUUUAGUGACCUAAACAAAAUUGGCCUUAAAAAUAUUGUUUAAUAAUAUAAAAUAUUUCACUGUACUCAUAGACGUAGUUUUGUAUUAUAUAAAAGACUGGUAAAUUCAAAUGUCAUUGUCAUAAAAAACAGUUACAAGUUCAUAUUAAUUACAGUUUAUCUACUUAGUCUUGUACAUGUUUCUGCGAACUUACUUCGUGAUAAAUUGUCUUGUUCAUGUUAUCUUUGCAGGAUAAGUAAUACUUAUUACCCUAACGGUAUGUAGUGCUAGUGAAUUUUAAAAAUGUUCAGCAAAUUUAAGAGGACAGUAUUUGUUGUUUAGGGUAUUUCUUGUAGCAAAAAUGUAAAAUAUUUUUGUUAAUUUGUUUUAUAAUAAAAUAAAUGUAUACGGUAUUUUAGUA